CGUAGGGUGCAAGCGUUAAUCGGAAUUACUGGGCGUAAAGCGUGCGCAGGCGGUUAUAUAAGACAGAUGUGAAAUCCCCGGGCUCAACCUGGGACCUGCAUUUGUGACUGUAUAGCUAGAGUACGGUAGAGGGGGAUGGAAUUCCGCGUGUAGCAGUGAAAUGCGUAGAUAUGCGGAGGAACACCGAUGGCGAAGGCAAUCCCCUGGACCUGUACUGACGCUCAUGCACGAAGGCGUGGGGAGCAAAACAGGAUU
Molecule: ribosomal RNA, 255 nt
Filed under: uncultured bacterium
Lineage: Bacteria
Description: partial 16S ribosomal RNA
Rfam family: Bacterial small subunit ribosomal RNA
Source: RNAcentral